RNAcentral lists this ribosomal RNA (429 nucleotides) under uncultured archaeon. RNAcentral describes it as "bacterial SSU rRNA". It matches the Rfam family "Archaeal small subunit ribosomal RNA", at positions 474 to 903 of the family's 1478-position model. The record is from RNAcentral.
UACCAGCUCUCCGAGUGGUAGGGAUGAUUAUUGGGCUUAAAGCGUCCGUAGCCGGCUUAGCAAGUCUCCUGUUAAAUUCAGCGACCUAAUCGUUGAGCCGCGGGAGAUACUACUAGGCUAGGAGGCGGGAGAGGUCAACGGUACUUCCGGGGUAGGGGUGAAAUCCUAUAACCCCGGGAGGACCACCAGUGGCGAAGGCUGUUGACUAGAACGCGCUCGACGGUGAGGGACGAAAGCUGGGGGAGCGAACCGGAUUAGAUACCCGGGUAGUCUCAGCUGUAAACGAUGCGAGCUAGGUGUUGGGGUGGCUACGUGCCACUUCAGUGCCGCAUGGAAGCCAUUAAGCUCGCCGCCUGGGGAGUACGGCCGCAAGGCUGAAACUUAAAGGAAUUGGCGGGGGAGCACCACAAGGGGUGAAGCUUGCGGUUU